AUGCCGUUCCCAGUCCCAUUCCACAUCCCAUUCCCGUUCCCGUUCCCAUUCCCGUUCCCACUCCCGUUCCCAGUCCCGUUCCUGUUCCUGUUCCCAAUCCCAUUCCCAUUCCCAUUCCCACUCAUGUUCCCAUUCCCAUUCCCAUUCCCGUUCCCAAUCCCAUUCCCGUUCCCAUUCCGCAGGCCAUGCCCCCAUUCCCGUUCCCAGUCCCAUUCCCGUUCCCAGUCCCGUUCCCAAUCCCGUUCCCAAUCCCAAUCCCAUUCCGAUUCCCAAUCCCAUUCCCAUUCCCGUUCCCAAUCCCAUUCCCGUUCCGCAGGCCGUGCCCCCAUUCCCAAUCCCAUUCCCGUUCCCGUUCCCAAUCCCGUUCCCGUUCCGCAGGCCGUGCCCCCAUUCCCAAUCCCGUUCCCGUUCCCAAUCCCGUUCCCGUUCCGCAGGCCGUGCCCCCAGUCCUGUUCCCGUUCCCAAUCCCGUUCCCGUUCCGCAGGCCGUGCCCCCAUUCCCAAUCCCGUUCCCAUUCCCAAUCCCGUUCCCGUUCCCGUUCUGCAGGCCGUGCCCCCAUUCCCGUUCCCGUUCCCGUUCCCAAUCCCGUUCCCGUUCCGCAGGCCGUGCCCCCAAUCCCGUUCCCAUUCCCAGUCCCGUUCCCAUUCCCGUUCCCAUUCCCAUUCCCGUUCCCAAUCCCAAUCCCGUUCCCGUUCCGCAGGCCUUGCCCCCAAUCCCAUUCCCGUUCCCGUUCCCAUUCCCGUUCCCAAUCCCGUUCCCAUUCCCAGUCCCAUUCCCGUUCCCGUUCCGCAGGCCGUGCCCCCAUUCCCAUUCCCAAUCCCGUUCCCAUUCCCGUUCCCGUUCCCAAUCCCGUUCCCGUUCCGCAGGCCGUGCCCCCAUUCCCAAUCCCAUUCCUGUUCCCAAUCCCGUUCCCAAUCCCGUUCCCAUUCCCAUUCCCGUUCCCAUUCCUGUUCCCAUUCCGCAGGCCGUGCCCCCAAUCCCAAUCCCAUUCCCGUUCCCAUUCCCAUUCCCGUUCCCAUUCCCGUUCCCAAUCCCGUUCCCGUUCCGCAGGCCGUGCCCCCAGUCCCAAUCCCAUUCCCAUUCCCAAUCCCGUUCCCAUUCCGUUCCCAAUCCCGUUCCCGUUCCCGUUCUGCAGGCCGUGCCCCCCGCCCGCCCCCCGCCCGGGGCUGCCUCGUUCCCGCUGGGGCUGUGCCCCCGCCUGCGCAGCCCCCGCAAGGGUUGGGGGCGCCGCAUCAAGAGCUGGGCCCGGCGCCUGCGCCCCCCUUCCGUGGGGGGAGACCCCCACACAGAGGAGCCAGAGGAACUCGGGGACCCCCCAAGGCAAGGGCACUGCCAGGUGGGUGUUGGGGACCCCAAAGGGCCCCAGGAACCCUAAAACUGCCACAUGGAGCCCCCCAAAACUGCCCCAGAGACCUCAGAACUACCCCAAGAGACUCCAGAGUUAUCCCAGGGACCCCCAAACCACCCCAGAGACCCCUGAUCUGCCCCAGGACCCCCCUAAACUGGCCCAAGGAAUCCCCAAACUGCCCCAGGGACCCCAGAACUACCUCAGAAACCCCCAAACUGUCCCGGGGACCCCCCAAACUGUUCCGAGGGACCUCCAAACUGCCCCAGGGACCCCAGAACUACCUCAGAAACCCCCAAACUAUCCCGGGGACCCCCCAAACUGUUCCAAGGGACCCCCAAACUGCCCCGGGGACCCCCCAAACUGUUCUGAGGGACCCCCAAACCACCCCAGAGACCCCUGAUCUGCCCCAGGAACCCCCUAAACUGGCCCAAGGAAUCCCCAAACUGCCCCAGGGACCCCAGAACCACCUCAGAAACCCCCAAACUGUCCCGGGGACCCCCCAAACUGUUCCAAGGGACCUCCAAACUGCCCCAGGGACCCCAGAACUACCUCAGAAACCCCCAAACUGUCCUGGGGACCCCCCAAACUGUUCCAAGGGACCUCCAAACUGCCCCAGGGACCCCAGAACUACCUCAGAAACCCCCAAACUGUCCUGGGGACCCCCCAAACUGUUCCAAGGGACCUCCAAACUGCCCCAGGGACCCCAGAACUAUCUCAGAAACCCCCAAAAUGUCCCGGGGACCCCUCCAAACAGCCUCGGAGAUCCCCAAAACUACCCCAGAGACCCCCAAACUGCCCCAGGGACCCCAGAACUACCUCAGAAACCCCCAAACUGCCCCAGGGACCCCUCCAAACAGCCUCGGAGAUCCCCAAAACUACCCCAGAGACCCCCAAACUGCCCCAGGGACCCCAAAUCCCUCCCUCUUGACCCCCAUCUCCUGUCACCCCUCUCUCCCCCUGUCCCUUCCUAGCCACCCCCUGAGCCCACCGACCCCGAGGGCGACUGGGGGGGCCCCAGCUCAGGCAGUGAGAGUGGGGGGCUGGGGGGACCCCCGCACCCCCCCGGGGCCCCCCUGCUCCCCCCGGGGUCCCCUGAGACCCCCCUGAGCAGCGACGGGGAUUCGGAGCCCGAGGACGAGGCGCUGCGGGAGCAGCUGCGGCGGCUGCGGGAAAAGUGAGUGAGGGGCUUUGGGGGGAUUUGGGGGGUCCUGAGGAGGUUUUGGGGUUUGGAGAGG
Molecule: long non-coding RNA, 2583 nt
Organism: Taeniopygia guttata (zebra finch)
Lineage: Eukaryota; Metazoa; Chordata; Aves; Passeriformes; Estrildidae
Source: Ensembl